AAGGGCACCACAAGAACGCGUGGAGCAUGUGGCUUAAUUUGACUCAACGCGGGAAAUCUUACCGGGUCCGGACACACUGAGGAUUGACAGGCGCUUGCAUAGCGUGCGGGCUCUCCUUUUGGGGGGUUCUGCACGCACAAUGCUUUCAAAUAUGCUAGUCCUUUCAUGAUUGUGUGAUAGGUGGUGCAUGGCCGUUCUUAGUUCGUGGAGUGAUCUGUCUGCUUAAUUGCGUUUCACAAGGGACUUGCAUGGCAUACGUUGGGAUAUGGUGCCCUCCUGCCGUUGCCCCUGACGGGGCCGGGGGAGUGUUGCGCCUGUCUUUCAAUAGCCAACAGUCCCGAAGGCAACGAACGUGACCGCAGCCUCUUGUUACCUCUCUGUUUUCCACUUCGGGGCGGCCAUCGGCCUUCGGGUCGGGGCUUGUUCCCGUUGAGAGAGGUAAACUAGAGGGACCGCCGACGUUUUUAAACCGGAGGAAGGUUGCGGCAAUAACAGGUCUGUGAUGCCCUUAGAUGUUCCGGGCUGCACACGUGCUACAAUGAUUAUUGCAGUGAGCAUCUUCACAAGUUCGUGGGGUGCUGCGAUGAGUNCAUCUUGNCGUGUCGGCGUGGUGCAGCGGUGGAGGGGGGCGCUGGUCGGAGGCUUCGUGCUGAUGGCUGGUUGCUUCUCUCGCCGCAGCCCGUGUCGCUGGCUUUGGGCUUGGCGCGCAUCCGCUAUCACGACACGCCUGCUUCGAAAGUAAGCAGGUAAUCAAUUCGAAGUAAUGAUUUCCAUCCGCACGCUUUAGCGCAGGUCGCUGUGGCUUCGUGUCACGCGUCCAGCGUGUGCUCCAUAACUUCGUGGUGGGGACAGACCCUUGUUAAUUGUUGGUCUCGGUCUCAACUAGGAAUGCCUUGUACGGGUCUUUGGUUCAACAAACCACCCGGAAUAUGUCCCUGCCCUUUGUACACACCGCCCGUC
Molecule: ribosomal RNA, 960 nt
Filed under: Monothalamids sp.
Lineage: Eukaryota; Foraminifera
Description: SSU rRNA
Rfam family: Eukaryotic small subunit ribosomal RNA
Source: RNAcentral